Molecule: long non-coding RNA, 306 nt
Organism: Mytilus trossulus (common blue mussel)
Lineage: Eukaryota; Metazoa; Mollusca; Bivalvia; Mytilida; Mytilidae
Exons: 3
Source: RefSeq, a predicted model, not a curated record
GACAAAUCUGCUUGUUGGCCAAAUGUUUGUGGAGGUCGAACCAGAUGUGUGGUCGCUGCAUACAACAACCAGCCUAUAUGUUUACGCUAUGAUAAUCCAUGUGACAAUGUAACCUGUGAUAACGAUGGAGUAUGUCGUAACGAUGUUGGUGGUUAUAGAUGUGAUUGUGACGAUGGAUUUUAUGGGCCGCACUGUGAAUACACUCCCUGCUCUACAAAGCCAUGUAACAAUGGUGGUUUUUGCACAUAUUCAGGAUCGUCCUUUUCCUGUAACUGUAUUAACAGACACUACGGAAGUAAAUGUCGU